RNAcentral lists this ribosomal RNA (245 nucleotides) under uncultured bacterium. RNAcentral describes it as "partial 16S ribosomal RNA". It matches the Rfam family "Bacterial small subunit ribosomal RNA", at positions 524 to 768 of the family's 1533-position model. The record is from RNAcentral.
UACGGAGGGUGCAAGCGUUGUUCGGAAUCACUGGGCGUAAAGGGCGUGUAGGCGGCCUGUUAAGUCUGAUGUGAAAUCCCCUCGCUCAACGAGGGAACUGCGUCGGAAACUGGCAGGCUUGAGUACCGGAGAGGAAGGUGGAAUUCCCGGUGUAGCGUGAAAUGCGUAGAUAUCGGGAGGAACACCGGUGGCGAAGGCGGCCUUCUGGACGGAUACUGACGGCUGAUACGCGAAAGCGUGGGGAG